RNAcentral lists this ribosomal RNA (787 nucleotides) under uncultured Pseudomonadota bacterium. Its description in RNAcentral is "bacterial SSU rRNA". It matches the Rfam family "Bacterial small subunit ribosomal RNA", at positions 70 to 836 of the family's 1533-position model. The record is from RNAcentral. Lineage: Bacteria; Pseudomonadati; Pseudomonadota.
AAAGGCUCCUUCGGGGGCCGAGUAGAGUGGCGCACGGGUGAGUAACACGUAGGUAAUUUGCCUUCGGGUGGGGAAUAACAGCCGGAAACGGCUGCUAAUACCGCAUAAUGCAGCGGCUCGACAUCGAGACAGUUGUUAAAGCGGGGGAUCGCAAGACCUCGCGCCUGAAGAGAAGCCUGCGGCAGAUUAGCUAGUUGGUAGGGUAAUGGCCUACCAAGGCAACGAUCUGUAACCGGCCUGAGAGGGCGGUCGGUCACACUGACACUGACAUACGGGUCAGACUCCUACGGGAGGCAGCAGUCGGGAAUUUUGGGCAAUGGGCGAAAGCCUGACCCAGCAACGCCGCGUGAAGGAUGAAAUCCCUCGGGAUGUAAACUUCGCAAGAAUGGGAAGAAUAAGUUCUGGCUAAUAUCCAGAACGAUGACGGUACUAUUUGUAAGCUCCGGCUAACUCCGUGCCAGCAGCCGCGGUAAUACGGGGGGAGCAAGCGUUGUUCGGAUUUACUGGGCGUAAAGGGCGCGUAGGCGGCCACGACAAGUCACUUGUGAAAUCUCCGGGCUUAACUCGGAACGGUCAAGUGAUACUGUCGGGCUAGAGUACAGAAGGGGCAACUGGAAUUCUCGGUGUAGCGGUGAAAUGCGUAGAUAUCGAGAGGAACACCUGCGGCGAAGGCGGGUUGCUGGGCUGAUACUGACGCUGAUGCGCGAAAGCCAGGGGAGCGAACGGGAUUAGAUACCCCGGUAGUCCUGGCCUUAAACGAUGAAUGCUUGGUGUCUCGGGUUACAUA